Molecule: ribosomal RNA, 702 nt
Filed under: Taraperla ancilis
Lineage: Eukaryota; Metazoa; Arthropoda; Insecta; Plecoptera; Gripopterygidae
Description: bacterial SSU rRNA
Rfam family: Eukaryotic small subunit ribosomal RNA
Source: RNAcentral
GCAAUUACCCAAUCCCAGUACGGGGAGGUAGUGACGAAAAAUAACGAURCGGAACUCAUCCGAGGCCCCGUAAUCGGAAUGAGCACAACUUAAAUACUUUCACAAGUAUCCAUUGGAUGGCAAGCCUGGUGCCAGCAGCCGCGGUUAUUCCAGCUCCAAUAGCGUAUAUGAAAGUUGUUGUGAUCAAAAAGCUCGAAGUUGGAUUUGUGUCCCACGCCGUCGGUUCGUCGCCCGACGACCUAAUCGCACGGUUAUGUAAGUGGGACGUCCAGCCGGUGAGGCGCAGGUCUCGGCUUGGCGCAAGACGAACCGAAGCGAAAGCAUUUGGGGGAAUGUUUUCCUUAAUCAGGAACGAAAGUUAGAGGUUCGAAGGCAAUCAGAUAACGCCAUAGUUCUAACCAACAACGAUGCCAACUAGCGAUCCGCCGGUGUUCCUCCGAUGACCCGGCGGGUAGCUUCCGGGUGCCCAAAGUGUUUGGGUUCCGGGAGAAGUAUUGUUGCAAAGCUGAAAAUUAAAGGAAUUGAUGGAAGGGCACCACCAGGAGUGGAGCCUACGGCUUAAUAUGAAUCAACACGGGAAACCUCAGCAGGCCCGGACAUUGGAAGGAUUUACAGUUUGAUAGCUCUUUCUUGAUUCAGUGGGUGGUGGUGCAUGGCCGUUCUUAGUUGGUAGAGCGAUUUGUCUGGUUAAUUCCGAUAACG